GUGGGGCAGAAGAAAGGGGCCGUGUGCGCCCACAUACUGGAGGAUCAACAUUAUCAUGGCAACCCUGAGGAGGCUGUGAGAGUCUCUGGGGUCCUUGCCGGCCUGCAGAAAAUCAAGCUUUGAGCGGGAAGCUUCGAGGAGACACAGUGUCACAAUUACAAGGUUCCAGCAUUUGGAGGCAAACAUGAAGCUCCAUCCUCUCCAAUUCUGGGGCAACCGUGUGGAGAUGAUCAAAAUGCUUCACCUUCAAAACUUUCAAAGGAAGAGUUAAUACAGAGUAUGGAUCGUGUAGAUCGAGAAAUUGCAAAAGUAGAACAGCAGAUCCUUAAACUGAAAAAGAAACAAGUAAAAGUCUUUGCCUAAUAUAUUCUAAGAAUGUAUUUUUU
RNAcentral lists this long non-coding RNA (386 nucleotides) under Homo sapiens (human). RNAcentral's name for it is "non-protein coding lnc-GINS1-2:4". Lineage: Eukaryota; Metazoa; Chordata; Mammalia; Primates; Hominidae. The record is from RNAcentral.